RNAcentral lists this transfer RNA (72 nucleotides) under Serratia marcescens. RNAcentral describes it as "tRNA-Phe". It matches the Rfam family "tRNA". From Rfam's summary of the family: Transfer RNA (tRNA) molecules are approximately 80 nucleotides in length. Their secondary structure includes four short double-helical elements and three loops (D, anti-codon, and T loops). RNAcentral also lists the same sequence under 16 other names. Lineage: Bacteria; Pseudomonadati; Pseudomonadota; Gammaproteobacteria; Enterobacterales; Yersiniaceae. The record is from RNAcentral.
ACGUCAUUAGCUCAGCAGGAAGAGCGGCAGCGAAGUUGGCGGACUGGGGUUCGAUUCCUCGAUGACGUUCCA